AGUGCACCAAUCCUGAAGAUUUUGAGAAACCCACUCUAAGAUAGCAAGUGCUGCCAACCAAUGUUCGAUAUAACAAUCUACGUGAUUAAUUGACAUCAGGUUUGCCAACUUCGUUCGCUUGAACAUGACUUGAAUCAGCGUAUAGCCGAGUACGCACUUUAAUAUUUUAAUAUUGUUGGACUUUAAGACCCUGUCUUGAAGAUCCCUACUUUAACGUCGCGUGUAGACCAGGCACGAGCCUUUUGGAGAAGAUUUCGGAUUCAAUACUAGAAAAGGCGAUAUCUCGACUUUAAAUCAAACAUCGAUUGCGAGCAGUUCGAAAGCGACGCAGUGAUUGGUUAUGAAAUUAUUGACAAAUACGGCUUCAAUUUGACAGCUCAACAAGAAUUCGCC
This 393-nucleotide unclassified non-coding RNA is filed under the name Athalia rosae (coleseed sawfly). RNAcentral describes it as "misc RNA ENSAEAG00005010087.1". The record is from RNAcentral. Lineage: Eukaryota; Metazoa; Arthropoda; Insecta; Hymenoptera; Athaliidae.